UAGACAACACAGCGAGCAAUACUGUGUUCAUGACCACGUCCCGACAACCACAGCACAAUUAAAAAUGAAAACAUCAAGAAAAAUACUUUAAAAUCAUUUCAUAGGAUUCAAAUAUUAAGAAACACGGCCUUGAUUGACGUCCACCACGAUGGCAAUGAACUAUUCCAACGUGAUGAGAAGAAGCGUAAACAACAAAGACGCGAAACCUGGACAAAUAAAUAUGAAACAUGUUUAAAUCUUGCUUUGAAAUUAUGAAUUUUUUUCGAGUGCAGUUUGAAAAAAAAAAACCAUCACGAGUGCAGAUUAAAAUCAAAUGUCAUGAGCCGAGGUAAGGCGAGAUAUGUACGAGAACUCAUUUGAUUUUCUUUCAAUAAUAUGACUGUAAUAAACUGUGAAGCAGUUCAAA
Molecule: long non-coding RNA, 406 nt
Organism: Actinia tenebrosa (Australian red waratah sea anemone)
Lineage: Eukaryota; Metazoa; Cnidaria; Anthozoa; Actiniaria; Actiniidae
Source: RefSeq, a predicted model, not a curated record